This 46-nucleotide non-coding RNA is filed under the name Schistosoma margrebowiei. The record is from RNAcentral. Lineage: Eukaryota; Metazoa; Platyhelminthes; Trematoda; Strigeidida; Schistosomatidae.
ACAUUGCUGAAGAGUCCCAUACUAGAACGAAACGUCCGUCCAAUAC